GACGAACGCUGGCGGCGUGCUUAACACAUGCGAGUCGAACGGAAAGGCCCUGCUUUUGUGGGGUGCUCGAGUGGCGAACGGGUGAGUAACGCGUGAGUAACCUGCCCUUGACUUUGGGAUAACUUCAGGAAACUGGGGCUAAUACCGGAUAGGAGCUCCUGCUGCAUGGUGGGGGUUGGAAAGUUUCGGCGGUUGGGGAUGGACUCGCGGCUUAUCAGCUUGUUGGUGGGGUAGUGGCUUACCAAGGCUUUGACGGGUAGCCGGCCUGAGAGGGUGACCGGCCACAUUGGGACUGAGAUACGGCCCAGACUCCUACGGGAGGCAGCAGUGGGGAAUAUUGCACAAUGGGCGGAAGCCUGAUGCAGCAACGCCGCGUGCGAGAUGACGGCCUUCGGGUUGUAAACCGCUUUCGCCUGUGACGAAGCGUGAGUGACGGUAAUGGGUAAAGAAGCACCGGCUAACUACGUG
RNAcentral lists this ribosomal RNA (468 nucleotides) under uncultured bacterium. Its description in RNAcentral is "partial 16S ribosomal RNA". It matches the Rfam family "Bacterial small subunit ribosomal RNA", at positions 28 to 507 of the family's 1533-position model. The record is from RNAcentral.